UGGGGAAUUUUGGACAAUGGGGGAAACCCUGAUCCAGCCAUCCCGCGUGUGCGAUGAAGGCCUUCGGGUUGUAAAGCACUUUUGGCAGGAAAGAAACGUCAUGGGUUAAUACCCCGUGAAACUGACGGUACCUGCAGAAUAAGCACCGGCUAACUACGUGCCAGCAGCCGCGGUAAUACGUAGGGUGCAAGCGUUAAUCGGAAUUACUGGGCGUAAAGCGUGCGCAGGCGGUUCGGAAAGAAAGAUGUGAAAUCCCAGAGCUCAACUUUGGAACUGAAUUUUUAACUACCGGGCUAGAGUGUGUCAGAGGGAGGUGGAAUUCCGCGUGUAGCAGUGAAAUGCGUAGAUAUGCGGAGGAACACCGAUGGCGAAGGCAGCCUCCUGGGAUAACACUGACGCUCAUGCACGAAAGCGUGGGGAGCAAACAGG
RNAcentral lists this ribosomal RNA (429 nucleotides) under Acidobacteriota bacterium. RNAcentral describes it as "Acidobacteria bacterium partial 16S ribosomal RNA". It matches the Rfam family "Bacterial small subunit ribosomal RNA", at positions 355 to 776 of the family's 1533-position model. Lineage: Bacteria; Pseudomonadati; Acidobacteriota. The record is from RNAcentral.